AAGGAGAUAGGGAGACGGGCCGGGCGCCGGAGAGGAACCCGGACUCUGCCCAAAGUCUCGCCGCCCGCCGGCUGUUUUCUGGCGGAGGGUGUGUCCCGGAGGGCGGCGAGCGCGGGUGAAGGCUGGGGCCAGGCGCGGGUGGAGGCGUCACCGGGGUCGGGCUAGCAGGCCCUGGAAUCAGGCUUUUGGGACAUCCCGAAAAUUGGAUGACUGAUUAUUGGACAGAAUGGCAUCUUGUCAACACCUGCGGUCUCCUGCAUUAUCAGGAAGAUCAAGGCAGCUGGUGGAAUCAUUCUAACAGCCAGCCACUGCCCUGGAGGACCAGGGGGAGAGUUUGGAGUGAAGUUUAAUGUUGCCAAUGGAGGUCCUGCACCCGAUGUUGUCUCAGACAAAAUCUACCAAAUCAGCAAAACGAUUGAGGAAUAUGCUAUAUGUCCUGAUCUCCAAAUCGACCUAUCUCGACUAGGAAGACAAGAAUUUGACCUAGAGAACAAAUUCAAACCAUUCAGAGUGGAGAUAGUGGACCCAGUGGAUAUCUAUCUUAACCUCCUUCAGACCAUCUUUGACUUUCAUGCCAUCAAGAGUUUGCUGACUGGGCCCAGCCAACUGAAGAUUCGCGUUGAUGCAAUGCAUGGAGUUAUGGAACCUUAUGUGAGAAAAGUUCUGUGUGAUGAGCUGGGGGCCCCAGCCAAUUCUGCAAUAAACUGUGUUCCCCUGGAAGACUUUGGAGGGCAGCACCCUGACCCAAACCUGACAUAUGCAAUGACUCUUCUGGAAGCAAUGAAAGGAGGAGAAUAUGGAUUUGGAGCUGCAUUUGAUGCUGAUGGGGACCGUUAUAUGAUCCUAGGCCAAAAUGGCUUCUUUGUGAGCCCUUCUGACUCCCUGGCCAUCAUUGCUGCCAACCUCUCUUGCAUUCCAUAUUUCCAUCAGAUGGGGGUCCGCGGGUUUGGGAGGAGUAUGCCAACCAGCAUGGCCCUGGACAGAGAGACAUCUGGUGAUACUAUCUGUUGAUUGCAAAGAAAAAUAUACCCGACUAAUAAGAAGAAAAUGAAUGGUGCAUAAUGACCCAAUCUCCUUUGGAUAUAAUAAAACUAUGCCUGAUUUGUGGUCUUCAUUUA
Homo sapiens (human) is the source of this 1118-nucleotide long non-coding RNA. Ensembl annotates it as phosphoglucomutase 5 pseudogene 2. Its record names the gene PGM5P2. Lineage: Eukaryota; Metazoa; Chordata; Mammalia; Primates; Hominidae. The record is from Ensembl.